This 468-nucleotide ribosomal RNA is filed under the name uncultured bacterium. RNAcentral describes it as "partial 16S ribosomal RNA". It matches the Rfam family "Bacterial small subunit ribosomal RNA", at positions 28 to 507 of the family's 1533-position model. The record is from RNAcentral.
GACGAACGCUGGCGGCGUGCUUAACACAUGCAAGUCGAACGGACAGGCCCUGCUCUUGCUGGGUGCUCGUGUGGCGAACGGGUGAGUAACACGUGUGUAACCUCCCCCUGUCUUUCGGAUAAAUUCAGGAAACUGGGGCUAAUACACGAUAGAAGCUCCUGCUCCAUGUUGUUGAUUGGAAAGUUUCGGCUGUGAGGGAUGGUCUGGCGGCUUAUCAGCUUGUUGGUGUGGUAGUUGCUUACCAAGGCUUUGACGGAUAGCCGGCCUGGGAGGGUGACCGGGGACAAGGGGCCUGAGAUAGGGCCCAGACUGCAACGGGAGGCAGCAGGGGGGAAUUUGGCACAACGGGGGGAAGCGUGAUGCAGCAACGUUGCGUGCGGGAUGACGGGUUUCGGGUUGUAAACAGCUUUCGCCGGUGACGAAGCGUGAGUGACGGUAAUGAGUAAAGAAGCACCGGCUAACUACGUG